Molecule: long non-coding RNA, 1915 nt
Organism: Paramacrobiotus metropolitanus
Lineage: Eukaryota; Metazoa; Tardigrada; Eutardigrada; Parachela; Macrobiotidae
Exons: 3
Source: RefSeq, a predicted model, not a curated record
GCGCAUUUGGCAGCUUUACUGACCAUAUUUAUGUUUUCCCUUUAUCGUUCCUUCCAUUACACUCAAUUACUUUGUCGUGUCUCUUUGGGCAGUCCAGAGAAGAAUGCAUCUGUACAAAGAUGCUGAAUCUCUGUACGACUGGAAUGCGGUGGAUGUGGAGAUUGACGGUCAGUUGCAUCACGGCCAUGUUAUCGGCCUCGAAGGGAACGGCAGCGCUGAACCGCGUCUGGUCGUCGAUUUCGGAUUUCCCACACAGCAGGCGGUGCUUGUUCCAUAUGGAACGGUCUGGGACAGCUCAACCGAGAUAUCAUACAGCGCGCGCAUGGGAGACGCUGUGGAAGUGCUGCUGCGCGGCGGCCGGGAUCGUCCUUGGAAGUGGCAUCCCGGAAAAAUGUUGAUUUCACCAUGUCCUGGUUCCGUCACAUAAAUGAUGAUAUGUACCUCGGGAAGGUGAUGAUGGACGGACGGUGUCGUCGAGAACUGCUUCCGAGCCGACAGAUACGGAAUUUCACGGAUGACGCCAGCAGGCCAGGACUUCUUGCCUUGGGCCAUUUUGUCGCCAGGACAUGCCGUGUGCCGAAUGGUUACUGGAUUCUAGAGCCGUCCGUAUCGGCGUUGCUGCUCCGAAAAGUUGAGUGAUAUCUAGGGCUGCGAUUCGUCAAAGUGCUGAGUAUGGAGAUGCACUGUGUGCGACAGAGCAAACGAUCCGAUCACGCACUGAGGAAGCUGAGUAUAUUGGGAUUGUGUUCGAAAGAGAGAGAAACGAGUGGGAAUUUCUCCACGAAAUAUCGAAAACGGAGAUUGAUGGUUGUGAGCCGAAGCGGAAGCAGCCGCCGAGUGUUGCACUGUGGAAUGCCAUUCUCACAUCGGCGGAGAUGUGCAGCGAGGUGCGUGUAUCGCGGCAACCGAUCAUUAGUGACCCGGAUGAUAGGCCAGGCAUAGCAGAUCCUCUGCAGCGAAAGGAGAUCGUAAUUAUUUGAUGUACGCUUGCCUUCUCAAGCUUAUCUCACCCGCAACCCGCACCUUAUGCAUUAGCGACACCAAACCAGACUACCGUAGCCGUUGGGUCGUGCAGGUAGCCGAUGGAACCGUGGACGUUAUCCAUGAGAUCUUGCACGAUGCCAUGGCCUCCGUAUCGAGCGUUUCAUCAUGAACCGGCGAUCGGUUAGGAUUGCACAGGCAGCAUAUCAGCCCAGGUUAACCUACUGACCGCUGAGAUCACCGCGCAUCUGCCGAAGCUCAUGUCUGUUUGUGAUCGUGUGAUUUGGAAGAACUAUGUCCUGAUUUUGUUAGACAAGAAGCGCUCGCCCUUGCUGAAUCUCCGCAUUCCUGUUGAAGUCUUCACCACGGGACCUGUCGAUGAGGCGCACAUUGUGGACCUGUUCGAGCAGAAUCUACCCUGCGAAGGUCAGCCGUUGGACAUGGAGCGCAUUUCCCACUGCCUGGCUAACAGGAUCGGCUACAGAGAGGACGCCAGGAAACUGAGAACAUUCUGCGGGACUACCAAACCUGUGAUCCGAGACCGUCGGCGCAGUAUCGCCAGCACAGAUGGACGCUGUAUAAUGUGGCCAGCGUGGAUGUUACCAAGCUGAACCGAUUGUCUGUGCGCCUUAUGGCAUUAUGUGCAGGACCGGUGGCCAGCAUACCCGGAUACUGACGCACAGGAUGUGCAAUUUCCGGAGUCCAGUGGUGAAUCCAGCGAGGCCAGCAGCUCCGCGUCCAAGUACGGCGAAUUCGAGGAUGGCGACUAAUGGGGAGGAUGCCGAAGAAUAAGAAGUAUACCAUUUAGACGUUCUUCGCAUUCCGGACAGUUCGCGUACCGGAUACCAGAGACACGGUAAUCUCUGCGUUGUUUCACAUUAAAAAACUUGAUAAUUUUUUUUUAAUUUCGUGUACAGCUUGGAUAAAAACAAAA